AUUCCAGCUCCAAUAGCGUAUAUUAAAGUUGUUGCAGUUAAAAAGCUCGUAGUCUAAUGUAUGGGAGUUGCGGUGUGGGUGUUUUGCUGGUUCUGCCGGUGAGACAAGACUCGUUCCGCUUCCCGCGUUUUCCCUUUUUGUAAAAGAAGGGAUACUUCACUGUAAGUAAAACAACUCGCUCAACAGCAAGGUUAUCUUGAUAUGAAUUAGUAUGGGAUGAUGAGAUAGGCUCGGUCCGUAUUUUGUUGGUUUUAGUGGUCUGAGAAUGAUGAAGAGGGACAAUUGGGGGUAUUCGUAUUUACAUGUCAGAGGUGGAAUUCUUGGAUUUUGGAAAGACGAACUAAUGCGAAAGCAUCAACCAAAGAUGUUUUCAUUG
Molecule: ribosomal RNA, 376 nt
Filed under: Thraustochytrium sp.
Lineage: Eukaryota; Bigyra; Thraustochytrida; Thraustochytriidae
Description: partial small subunit ribosomal RNA
Rfam family: Eukaryotic small subunit ribosomal RNA
Source: RNAcentral